Small nuclear RNA from Microtus ochrogaster (prairie vole), 104 nucleotides. The record is from Ensembl. NCBI's taxonomy places the organism in Eukaryota, Metazoa, Chordata, Mammalia, Rodentia, Cricetidae.
CUGCUCGCUUCGGCAGCAGGUAUACUACAAUUGGAACGAUACAGAGAUUAGUAUGGCCCCUGCAUUUUCAUGACGUGCAAAUUCGUGAAGCAUUCCAUAUUUUU